UGAUUUCUUAAAGUUUGGAAGCUAUAAAACGGCAAAUUUUAGUAAUUUUUUUUCUUUGAAUUUUUGCUACUUUUUGUGUAAUAACUUUUAAACCGAGAAUAAUUUGGUAAGAAAUAUAUCACAAAAGUUGUGGGUAAUUACGAGAGCUUUCAUAUUUGAUUAACCAAAAGGGGCUGGCCCCUAUAAUUAGGGGUUAAUAGCUCAUACACGCUUUUUUCUGAUAGCUAAAAAUAUUGGUAUAUUAUGAAAAAGUUUGACUGAAAUAAUUUCGAACUUAUAAAAUCUUGUCAUUUGAUAUAAAAAGAAAUAAACUUCAAGCUAUAUUUAAUUGUUUUUUUUAUAAAACAAGUACAUGUAUGUGAGAAACCUUUCAGGAACAAGUUGUCUACUAUAGCCAGCCAAGCCUUUACUGCAUACAUGUGCACAUUUUUAGUUGAUGCAUCUAAAAGAUAUAGUUUUGAUUCGGUGUUUCUUUGUUUUCUUUUUAUUCAAAUAAUUUUAAAAUGUGAUGAUGUACACAACAAUAAUUAGUACCUAGUUUAGAGGAUUUUUUCGCGCUUGUUUGUAAACAACGCGCGGCAUUGUGGGAAAUAGGAAGGUACUAAAGACGCGAUGUACUAAGCACUGAUUUGACCUGAUUCAAAUUUGUCUGUAAAUGUUCCAAACAAUUGAAUUUUUGUAUAGCAUAUGCCUCGAAGUCAUAUAGUCUGUACAUAAGUAAUUUAAAAUACUCAAUAUUACCAUUUAAUUAAAAAUUAAAACGUCAGGUAAAUAUCAGGUCUCUAGUAUAUCCCGUUUUUAGUGUGCCCCUUCGAGUCGACGUCGGACACAUGUUUGCCAUGGUUUACAAACUGAAAAUAGAAUGAUUUGUGAAGUUGAACAUUUUCUCACAAAGAAUCCGUUUGUAGACAUGUACACUCAUUUAAUCUGCAGCUACGAAGUACUUUGUCACUUCUCUGGAACAUUAUUCUAAGCAGAAUUAUGCCGAUUCAUAUAUUCUAAGAAUCUUGUGUGAAUUGUUUACGAGGAAAUUCUGACUGUCACAUUAACAAGGAUGAACACUCUUGACUCUGCUUCGGAUUCCCCAGUGAUAAUUGUAUCGUGUGAUGAAAGAGCUGACGGCGACAUUUUAAUGUAUGAUUGGCUUGGACCAUUGGAAUGAAGUCAUUUCAUGGUGCCACCACUUGGGAUGGUAUUAGCUGCAAAUAUAGACUUGUACUCAGCACUUAUUGCCUUUAAGAAGUAUGAGAUCCAUUUUGUGCUAACACCUACCGUGACACAGAAUCUUGGUUUAUGCAGUCUCAUAGGAGUAACCUGUCUAAAGCAUUUAGCAAUGGGAUUGGAACCUGCGACGUAAGGUUCAGCUUCUUAUUGAUACUUUGAUUUAUAAUAUUUAUUUGAGAAUUUCACUCAUUCACAUACUUAGAGAUGUUGAUAUAUAUUGUUGAAUAGCAUCAAUUUAGACCUUUACUUAGCUAAGUAAACAUGUACCGUGAGGUUUUUAAGGUCUCAUUCAUUUUAUAUGCCAGAUGCAUGUUAAGGAACAUUACUGCAUAAAUGUUUUUGUCUUAAAUUUGAAGCUCUUUACUAAUAUAGAGAUAUGUUAGUGUUAAACCUCUUCAAAUUAGGGUAGACCUUUACUUUAAACUCAGCAAUGUGAGUGUGUUGUGUGAACUUGUGUUAGCGAGACAGUGUGUUGUAUGAAUUUGUGUUAGCAAGGCAGUGUGUUUUGUGAACUUAAUUGUGUUAGCCUGACAGUGGGUUGUGUGAAUUCUUGUUAGCUUGACGAUGUGUUGUGUAAAUUCGUGUUAGCGGGACAGCGUGUUGUGUGAAAUUGUGUAUAAAGUGUAAGUGUGACAGUGUGUUUUGUAAACUCGUGUUAGUGAGACUGCGUGUUGUGUAAACUCGUGUUAGCGAGACUGCGUGUUGUGUAAACUCAUGUUAGAGAGACAGCGUGUUGUGUGAACUCUUAUUAAUGAGACAGCAUGUUGUGUGAAUUCGUGUUAGCGUGACAGUGUGUUGUGUGAACUUGUUAUCCUGAAAAUUUGUCGUGUGAACUGGUGUUAGAGAGAUAGUGUGUUGUGUGAACUCGUGUUAGCGAGAUUGCAUAUUGUGUGAACUCGUGUUAGCCAGACUGCGUGUUAUGUGAACUCGUGUUAGGGAUAUUGCAUGUUUUUUGAAUUUGUGUUAGCGUGACAGUGUGUUGUGUGAACUCGUGUUAGCCUGACAGUGUGUUGUGUGAAAUGGUAUUAGGAUGACAGUGUGUUGUGUGAAAUGGUAUUAGGAUGACAGUGUGUUAUCGCAACAGCGUUUGGUGCGAACUUGUGUUAGUGAAUAGUGAGAAAGCCUGUUUUGUGAAUUCGUGUUAGCGUGACAGUGUGUUGUGUGAACUUGUGUUAGCCUGACAGUGUGUUGUGUGAAAUGGUAUUAGAAUGACAGUGUGUUGUGUGAAAUGGUAUUAGGAUGACAGUGUGUUAUCGCAACAGCAUUUGGUGCGAACUUGUGUUAGUGAAUAGUGAGACAGCCUGUUUUGUGACUUUGUGUUAGCGUGACAGUGUAUUGUGUAAACUCGUGUUAGCGUGACAGUGUAUUGUGUAAACUCGUGUUAGUGAGACUGCGUGUUUUGUAAACUCAUGUUAGCAUGACAGUGUGUUGUGUGAAUUCAUCUAAGCGUGACAGUGUGUUGCAUGUACUUGUGUUAGCUAGACAGUGUAUUGUAUGAACUCGUAUUAGCGAGACUGCGUGUUGUGUAAAACUUGUGUUAGCAAGACAGCGUGUUGUGUGAUUUUGUGUUAGCGAGACAGCGUGUUUGUGAAUUUGUGUUAGCAUGAUAGUGUGUUGUGUGAACUCGUGUUAGCCUGAUAUUUUGUUGUGUGAAAUUGUAUUAGCGUGACAGUGUGUUGUGUGUUAGUGUGACAGCAUGUGGUGCGAACUUGUGUUAGUGCGAAAGUGUUUUUCAGUGUUGUGAUGGCGAGCUGUGUGAUAG
This is a long non-coding RNA of Saccostrea cuccullata (small rock oyster), 2986 nucleotides long. RefSeq lists it as uncharacterized. Lineage: Eukaryota; Metazoa; Mollusca; Bivalvia; Ostreida; Ostreidae. The transcript is spliced from 2 exons. The record is from RefSeq and is a predicted model, not a curated record.